Molecule: long non-coding RNA, 204 nt
Filed under: Lupinus angustifolius (narrow-leaved blue lupine)
Lineage: Eukaryota; Viridiplantae; Streptophyta; Magnoliopsida; Fabales; Fabaceae
Description: long non-coding RNA (LANG_LNC001576)
Source: RNAcentral
GUUCAUCUAUUUUCUUUUUCACCACCAUCUCAUCUCAAACUCACCCUCUUUGAGAUAGAAAGACCACCAUCAUGGUGACAACAUCGUGGUUCUCUCUUUCUGCCUUUGCUCUUAAUCACUACCAUGAUCCACCGUGAAUCACCAUUUAUAGACAUAAUUAUUGUGAAACCACGACUAUGACCAUCACCACCAGUUCUUCUCCAC